UUGAACCUACGGGGGGCAGCAGUGAGGAAUAUUGGUCAAUGGGCGUAAGCCUGAACCAGCCAAGUCGCGUGAGGGACGACGGCCCUACGGGUUGUAAACCUCUUUUGCCGGGGGACAAACGGCGGCACGCGUGCCGUCCUGAGGGUACCCGGAGAAAAAGCAUCGGCUAACUCCGUGCCAGCAGCCGCGGUAAUACGGAGGAUGCGAGCGUUAUCCGGAUUUAUUGGGUUUAAAGGGUGCGCAGGCGGAUUUUUAAGUCAGCGGUCAAAUCGUGGGGCUCAACCCCAUCCAGCCGUUGAAACUGG
This 305-nucleotide ribosomal RNA is filed under the name uncultured bacterium. RNAcentral describes it as "bacterial SSU rRNA". It matches the Rfam family "Bacterial small subunit ribosomal RNA", at positions 331 to 636 of the family's 1533-position model. The record is from RNAcentral.